This 189-nucleotide microRNA precursor is filed under the name Oryza brachyantha (malo sina). RNAcentral's name for it is "MIR812 microRNA precursor family". It matches the Rfam family "MIR812 microRNA precursor family". Lineage: Eukaryota; Viridiplantae; Streptophyta; Magnoliopsida; Poales; Poaceae. The record is from Rfam by way of RNAcentral.
AAUAAGUUUCUUUUUUAGUUUUUAUAUAAUAUUUGACUCUUCGUCUUAUUUAAAAUUUUUUACGAUUAAUAUUUUUAUGGUUAUUAAAUGAUAAAGAAGAAUAGUACUCUAGGCAUGACAUUUUUUAAAUUUUUUUAAAUAAGAUGGAUGGUUAAACACUGGACACAAAAAAAUAAAGCCACCUCCGUU